AAUCUCGAGUGUGCCCUUCAGGUUUUGUGACUGGGAUGCCGAGGAUCACAAAACAAGGUGUGAAGUAACCAUGCAAAUUACUUGGUACCCUUAAGUGUUUACCCCUCAAUCGAUGUGCCGGUUAACCACACACGCUCCAUCGAUACUAUGAUAAACAUUAAGUUACCCUUUGCCUACCUUGUUAAAUACGAGUUAGUGUGCCGGUUAACCACACACGCUCCACUAACCGACUUAAACAAAGUGCAAAGUGUAAUUUCAUGGAUUAGCACCUUAUUCACAUUUUCCUAAGUAACUAAGAUUGGGUAUUUAUAAAAGGUUUAGUUACUUAGUAUUUAUCAUUAAUACUUUUAAUGAAGGGAGAAUUAUAGUCCUGUCAAACCCGUUCGGCUAACGACCCUCCACCAGUCAAGCAAGCGGUGGGUGAGAGUGGACACCCAUUAAGUUGCCAUUUUAUAGGCAACAACCUUAUACCCACCUUAUAGACCGGCUUCGUGAAUGAGGCGUACUAGCGGUAAGACUGACUUUACUCUUAUACAUAUAUAUAUUAUUAACUUAUAAUAUUAUAAAGUAUAAGGGUUGAAUUUUAACUUUUAAAAUUCUAAGGGCUAACUUGGAAUUGAAGUAUUCAUAAGAGAAAAAUUUUCAAAUUCUAAAACUUGAGGGCAAGUUUUGAAACUACUCAAAACUAAUUAAUUUCAUAACUUAUGUGUUUAAAGUAGUUUUAAUUAAAAAACUCUUCAAGUUCCAUAACUUGAGGACAAGUUAUGGAAGACUUUAAACUAAUAAAAGGAUUAAUUUUUCUUUACUUUAUAACUUAUGCAAUUAAUUAAGGUUACACAUUUUAGUACUUAAUGAAGUGACUCUUGAACUUCCAUAACUUGAGGACAAGUUAUGGAGUCAUAAAACCAUUUAAUUAGAACUAGACUCUUCAUUUUUNGAGACAAAACUCUUCAUUUUUGUAACCAUUGCCAACUUUUAUGAGUUUUAUGAAACUUAAAUGUGACUUUUCAUGUAACUUGAGGACAAGUUACACAAACACAUUUUAGAAUCAACUUUUAGAUUAAAAUGGAUUGAAAACAACUAUUCAAUUAACUUUUCUAUUAAUCGAAGCAACUCAUAUGAACAAGAUAAUUCAAUCAAACUUUUUCCAUGUAAUUAUCAUAACACUUAAACUAAUACAAACAUGAAUCUAUUGACAAUUAUCUUUAAAAUUUGAUUAGCAUGAACAUUACCACAUCAAAAACAAGUUUAUAAGUCCACAAACAUCUUAGGGGGUCCAACUCGUCGAGUGUAUGAACCAACUCGGCGAGUUGGAUCGAUUUGAUCACUUUUUAGGCAUGGACUUGUCGAGUCUGAUGCCCAUACAACAAAAAACUUCGAUUUUAAGCAGUUUUGCAAGGAUAACAAGAAAACAAGCCUAGGCUCUGAUACCACUGAUGGGUUUUGAGCAUUCUAACACUCCUAUUGUGUACAUGCAACCUUAUAAACCUUGGAUCUAUGUUUUCUCUAUUAUACAUGCAAAUAAGAACUUUCCAAGGAUUUAAUCCUAACUAGCAUAUUAUGAAGUUCUUAUACUACAAAGUACUAGUUAGAUGACAUACCUUUUGAUGUAGCUUGAUGUCUUCAAGCUUUAAGAGCUUAGUGAGUUCCCCCAUCAUACCACAUACCAUAAGAUCAUAUAACAUACAUAUACUAACAGGCAUAUCUGGGUGCCCGACCUACCCCUUCGGUCCUCUCGACCGGAUACUGCCUAGCAUAUCUGGGUGCUAGCCUCCCUUUCAGUCCUCUCGACCUGAUACUGCCUAGCAUACUUGGGUGCUGGGCUCCCCUACGACCCUCUCGACCGGAUACUGCCUAGCAUACAUGGGGGCUGGCCUCCCCUUCGGUAUCUUUCAACCGGUAACCGGGGACUAUUUCACCCCCUAACGCUACCACAUAAAAGCAUAGCAUAAACACAUAAGUCAUAUACUGCUUAGCAUAUCUGGGUGUUGGCCUACCCCUUCGGUCCUGUCGACUGGUAAGUGGGGACUAUUUCACCCCCUACUAUUACCACAUAAUAUCAUAUCACAUAUAUCAUAAUCUGUCUAGCAUAGUUGGGUACUAAUCUACCCCUUCGGCCCUAUCGACCGGUAAUCGGGGACUAUUUCACCCCAUACUACACUAUCACAUAACAUCAUAUCAUGCUAGCACAUAAAUAUAACAGGUAGUAGCAAACAUAGACAAUUAUCACAAAGACAAUAAUCUAGCAACAACUCCUACUGGUGGGCCGGCAUUAUGACCGUAGGCCCACCGCUACUGGAAGGUAACUCACCUCACACUGCUGAAGUCCCACAGACUCGACCCCAGCUGCUGGAUGACAGAUUUUCGAUCAGUGAAUAUCAAAACAUCACCCAAUUAAUAAUUGGGUCCCAACACAUAACCAAUAGUACAUUAUUUGGGUAAUUACUACAUUACCCCUAGCUUGGCUUAUUCAAGCCCAAGGCUCAAUCUAUAGGCCCAAAGUCAAUUAGGAAUCAAAGCCUAACACAUGGCCCAAUUUUCCAAAUUAGGCAUAGGCCUAUACAUGGUCCCAUUCUAAGGCCCAAAAUCAUAUAAUCAUUAAGGCCCAAACUAUGGCCCAAUUUUCCAAAUUGGGCCGAAACCCCUUACAUGGGCAUUACCCUAGGCCCAUUAAAUUACUCUAGACCAUUUGCUUGAUCUUGGAUAGCACAUUUAAUAACCCAAUCAUCAAGGCCCAAUAGAAAGGUCCAACAAUACACCCAAGUGAAAUUACGGUUUUCACAUAAAAUGAUGAUUAGGGUUAAGUCUUCUCACUUAACCCAUUAAGGACUUAAUCCAUUAAGUCCAAUAUUACUUAGAUUAAUUUCUUGAGAACGAUUAUUAUUUAGUAUCUCCAGUUAUUAAAUAAUUCUCGUGUGUGUGACCCGAUUAAUAUUAGCCCAUUUAUCAAUUUGUUGGCCUUUUAUGACAAUUAGGGCUUUAUUGGGCCUGAUAAGCCCACUAAAAUCUUAUGAAGCCCAUAUGGGUUUUAUUGGGUCAAUUAGAGUCCAUUAAGCUUCAUUGGGCCCAUUAGAGAUCCUUUGAGCCCAUUAGGCUUUCAGUCCCUUGACCAAACAUCCAAAUGAGUCCAAACACCAUGAAAGCACACCGCCACUCGACACGGCGGCCGGUGGCGGUAGGAGGCAGCAGCCACCACCCUACGGUGGUGGUUUGAGUUCUAUUUCAUUAUUAAAAUUUUUACAAUUACAAUGAACUCACAAAAUAACACACAUGUUAUACUAAAACAACACACCCACAACCACCCUUGUGGUGGUCAGUGGUGGUACACGGUGGCAGCCACCAUCUCAUAGUGGUGGUGGUGGCCUUUUCUUGCUUUUCCGGCCAUCAAACACCACAUACAACAAUCUAUCAGAAAAUAAACAUGCUCAUACACCAAAAUAUGCAUAUCCAUCGCUAACAAGGCACUAAUCUCGACCACCCUCUUGUGGUGGCAUGAGGUCGUCGAACGGAAAACGGCUGAGACUCACGAAGGCGGUAGCAGCAACCACAGUGUCACACCCCAAAACCAUGAACGACGGAAACGUUCUGGGGUGGAGGACGUCAUGUACAGUAUCACAACAAUGAAAAGUAGUAAACAAGCAACAAUAUCAUCCAUUGCAUUAAUAAUAUAAUUUUAAUACAAGUGUGUUCUGUAAAAUUAUAAUAAACACUAAAGUAUAAGUCAAAAUGAAAGAUGAGUCUUGAAUGAGCUCCAUCUUCUCUAAACCUUGCAUCGGUACCUGUUUAUCGUUGACCUGAGGAUACAAGUUAUUUUGAAAGAGAGUAUUAGCUUUAAAGCUGGUGAGAUCAUAAGUAUUUUAGUGUCUUAAUUUGUAUGUAAGUAUUUGUAUGUAUAUGAACUGUAAGUAUUGAAAAUGUAUAUGAACUGUAAGUAUGAAAAUGUUUUGAAUGAUCCUAGGAAGCCUUAUGUUUCCUACUAAUCGUAUCCUUCUACCAAGGCAUCUAGUGUCUCUGUGUGUGUCUCUUGUAAGAGUGUGUAUUUUCCCAAAUCUGAAUAUCAUUAACCAAAAAUAUAGUUUCUACAUUAUCGUACGUCGUGUGAAUGUUCACAAAGUGCAUGUAAUUGGGAAAACGAAAUAGUACUAUGGUGUAGUGUCGAACUACAACCGUACUAAUUACCUUAAGUCUAGGGUAAUCAUGUGAGUACUGUAGUAUUUGUAAUAAGUGAAUACUUUUGUACUCAUAUUGCCUUAUUUCAGGGAUAAGGCCUAAUGUGAUGGCUAGAUCCCAUGCUAAACGCUCCCCUGUCAAAGAGAUUUUGGGACCUGCACAUGACCCCUACAUGUAUGCAAGCCAUGAACAUCCACAUUACUAUGAUCAUGUAUACCCGAUAUAACUAUCACAAUGCAUUGUGAUUUAUCGGUAUAGUUAGAUCCUGAACUUGUUCUAUGUUAUAGCACCUAGUGAUGUCUGUCCUAUUAUCGUAUAUGUAAACACACUCAUGUAAACGUAUAUAUGUAAACAUACUCACGUAAGCGUAAUCAUGUAAACAUAUCUAUGUAAUAAUAUAGUAAUGUACUGUAAUGUUCUGCGUGUGCUAGCUGUAAUGUGUGUUCUCUCUCUGUCUAGCAUGUAUAGUAAUGUACUCUAAUGUUCUGCGUGUGCUAGCUGUAAUGUGUGUUCUCUCUCUGUCUAGAAUGUAUAGUAAUGUACUGUGCGUACUAGCUGUAACAAGUGUUCACUCUCUAUCUAGCAAGUAUUGACUCAUGAAUGAAUUGACUCAUUGUAUGAUAUCGCGUUCUAGUAAUAGUUCUAGUAUCUUCCUAAACUACACAUAUGGUAGCUUACUAGUAAUGUAACUUGUACGUAUGAACAUGGGAGUGUACCCUUGCUACUCAAGGGUAUUGAACUGAACUAGAAGAACCUUUAUGACUAUAUAUGUACACAUGAUAUAUAACUAAUAUUUAAAUGACUUUCGGACGGAUACCCGAUAUCCCACCAGACCACAUCUCAAGCGCGAAAAGGAAAUAGGGUGAAUAGCCUUCCUAAGUCCUUUAGACAUUUCUCAUAUAACUAUACAUAUAUAGGCAUGCAAUUGACAAUAUAAAAGAAUAAAAUAAGUUUUGUAAAACCUUUUGAACAUGAUUUCUAUCUAAGAAAAGAUCGACUUAAUGUUAAUCUACAAAACGGGUUGAAAGUAUGAGUUUGAUAAAACAGUUUAAGUAUAAAGAAACAUUUGUCUGAAACACAAUUGUAAAUGAGUUUGAAAUGAAACAUACAGAGUAAAAUGAACAGUUUAACAAGGAGUUUUAAACAUAUAAAAUGUUUAUGAAAAUCAUUUCAAGGAAACUGUUUGGUAAAACGGCUAUUGAGUAGUAAGUCAUUUGAAUGCUGCUUAUUAAUCACAUGUGAUUGAUAUAAUAACUAGCAUGAUUCUACUUGUAUCCCCCCAUAAAACAUUUAAAAACAUGUAAACUAUUGAUUAAGGGGUAUGAACUCAACUAUUGUGAACAGAUCGGAAGGAAGUAUUGGGCAAGUGCUUGGUGUCAAGUGAAGACUUUAGACACACACAAUGAUCCUAAUUACAUAUGAAGACAUAUGUAUAUAAGCAAUUAGUGAUUAAAACACUAAUUAAACAUGUAUAAACAUCCUAAUGUGAGGAAAACAUUUUGGUCAAGUGCUAGGAGGCUAUCGGGUUGCAACAAAGGAGUGCAAGACCUCAUACGAGAGUUUAUGGUCCAAAGACCAUAUGUGUUGGAGUUUACGGCCCAGGGGAGUAAACACCUGGCCGUAAACUCUCUAUUGGGUCACUAAAUGAUGCUCAAGCUAUUACAACUUAAGUGGUGAAGUGCUUCAAGGCUUAAACAAGUGUUUGGGUGGGUUUAUGGCCUUAAAAUGGCCUUGCUUAAAGUUCACGGUCCUGGGACCACUCCCCCAUGAGUUUACGACCGUAAACUCAUGGUAAGGAGUACCAUUUGAUGUUUUGAGGUUCCUAGCUCAUUGGUGAUUGGUUCUAUGUUAAGUUCUAGCCAUGUGGAAGCAUUAGGGGCACACUAUCACCCCUUUAAAGAGUUUACGGCCUAAGGACCAAUCCUUAUGAGCUUAUGGCCGUAAACUCUAUGGGAACAUGGUUUCUUGCAUGCUUAAGGUCCUUAACACUUCAAGGAUAUGAUCUAAGCUGGGUUCUAGGAAUAAGGAAGGCGUUAGGGUGCAAUUUGCCCUAUUUAUAGGGGUUUACGGCCCAAGAACCUGUCUUGGCCGUAAAAUCCUUUGUUCUUGUGUUUCCUUAUGAUUUCUAGACUAUAAACACAUUAGGGUACAAGUCCAAACUAGUUUCAUUGCUCAAGGAAAGGUCUAGGGCAUCAUUUGCCCCUUAAAGAAGGGUUCACGGUCCAAGAUGUUCUUGGGCCGUGAACUCUUAAAUCUUGGGGUUUUGUUAUGAUUUCUAGGUUAAGAAGCAUCUAAUAAGCCAUAUAAUACAACUAGAGAGAGGUACUCACUUUCCGGGACGAAAGUCCGAAGAUCCUUGAGAGAGAAUUCAACUUUGCUCUAGUUGGAAAUGUAACUAAUAAAUAAAUAUGGCUCAGAAUCCUAUAUAUAGUCCUGGGAUUUUUGGCUGAAAAUAUUUCAUUCACUAAAUGAACUCUAAUAUCAUAGAGUUUUGAAAUAACAGUGUUGCGUAAAACAUUAGUGCAUCCACUUUCCUGAUAUCUCCUUAAGUGUAAAUCCUGAACAACUCAAACUUAUACCCAAAAAUCUGGAAAUUCACUGUAACUGUUCAAAUCUUCUACUGACGAGAUAUGGUGUUACUAUCAAUAAGGUCAUUAAGUCUUCCAGGUCUGGUGGUAUGUUUUGUACAAAUUGGGAUCUGAGAAGCCAAUAGGUUGCUACAAUGCUUCUGUUCAGGUACAACUAAAAUUGUUUUUAUGCUUCCUUGUGCAACUCUUGGCCUUUUAAACUAGUGUCAAUUUUGAAAUCUAGAAACAAGAUACUAUAGAAUAUCAUUUUAAAGUAAAGAUAAGUGAAGAUUUUGUGAUAAUGUUUCAACACAUGCAGGAACUGAUUGUAAUUGAUGAUCUUCUAUCUGCUUUAGUUGGGAUUGAGGGAUGAUAUAUUUCUAUCAAUAGAGUUGGAGGGAAUGAUAACUUUAUUAUCUUCAAUGUUGAUGGAUCUAUGGAUUUUGCUCUCCAGGUUAAGAAUCUUCACAUAUACAAUUAUACAUACACAGAUGCACAUAUGUAUGUAUCUAUAACUUCAUGGAAAUCUUUUCACUUUUGGGAAAUAAAUGUUGCAAGAAAAUGCAGGAAUCAUCGAAAAGAAUAUUCCCUUUAUGCAAGAGCUAUUUGAUUAUCAAUCAAUUUGUGGAAUCAGGAUCACAGUUCAAGUCUGGAUUAGUAAACCAUGUCUUUGCUGCUGCACUAAGGGCCUUCCUUUUGGUAAUAUAUUUAUGUUCAAUGUUUCCUAUUAGAUGAUGGUCAUUACUGCAUAUAUUUAUAAAUAAUGAUAUAGAUUCUUACGUAUUUGAUAUACACAACAAUACAACUUUGCAAAUUCUAAGUUUUGGAAGCUAUAGUAAGUGAUAAAUUUACUAAUACAAUAACAAGUCAAGUUAUUCAAUAGGAAUCAUGGACUAUGUAAGAUAAAUAUAACAAUAUAACACAUUUUAGUGUCAAGGUUCCAUGAAUUUUCUAUUUUGCUAUUAUAAUAAAUAAUUAUUUUUCUCAGGAUUAUCAAGCCAUGGUGGCACAGCUUGAACAUCAAUUUCGAAUAGGAAGUCUCUCUAUACAUGGAUUGUGGUUCUACUGUCAGGUAAUUUCAUUUAUUAUAAACUUCAUUUUUUGUUUAUAUAUUUACAAACUAUGAUGAUUUUUUUCUUUUUUGGUUUCAAGAUUCAUAUUUGUUUCCUUUUUACAUAUUUACAACCAAUGAUGGGAUCAAUGCAAGCAUUAUCAACAGUAAUAAGAAAGGCAUCAACAAGUAAUUUUGUGCGUUCAACAGUUCUUAACCUUUUACAAAGUCAGGUACGUAAGUCAAUAAAAUAAACUAAAAUAUGUUAUAUGCUAUUUAUUUAUUUAUUAAUAUAUUUUAAAUAAAAACAGCCCAAGAUAAUGGCUGGUAACUAUUUGGUGAGAUCAUUGCUCGAGAAGAUGAUAGAGUCCGCAAAUUGUGCUUAUCUUGGCAUACUUGAAAGGUAUAUAUAAAGUCACAAUGCCCAAUAAUAUACUCCACAAAUUAAUAUUUUACCCCUUUACCAAUAUUGAAAAUAUGUUGUUAUUUUCAACAAUUUUCGCAUAACAUACUCAAUAUUGUACAUGUAUAUUUGCAUAUAUGCAAGUGGGUGUAUGAAGGAGUAUCCUUUGGGAGCUGUCCUUGAGGCCACAAAAAAUACUUUGAUUCAAGUCAGUACAAAACACUUAUUGGUAGAUCAUUUUUAAUUCCACUCUCAUAUAUACAUACAUACCAUGUGUAUUAUUAAUUAGUUGAUAUUGAUAUUGUACAACUGACAUGAUUAUUAUGUAAGAUUUCCGUGUUGUUCUUGAUCAAGAGUUGGGACUUCCGUGUUGUUCUUAUUUGGAUUAGGAAGAUUUGUUUUUCUAGUUUGAAUGAUGUUAAUAAACUAACAAUUAAAUGUGAUUUGUUUUGAAUAUUAGUACAUUUAUUUUAUGAAAUGGAUUGUUUUGUUAUAUAAGUAUUUUAUUUUGCAUUAUGAGACUUUAAAUGUGUUAUUUAAUUUGAAAUUAGUAAAUCUAUCAAAAACACAUAUUUUUUUAAAAACAUUUAAAAUUAUGACACGAAAAAAUGUGUGUCAUCUUUCUUUAUGACAUGGCCUUUCUUGAUACGCAUUGCGUGUCGUAAAUAUGCAUCGUAAAUCGCGUGUCGUAAUUGCGCGUCGCAAAUGUGUGUCGUCUAUAGACGACGCGCAAAAGCGUUUCGUCUCUUGUUAUUACAUGGCCUUUCUUGACAUGCAUUUGCACGUCGUCUGAGUGUUUUACGACACACAUUGCGCGUCGUAAAAAGUUGUUUUUCUAGUAGUGGUCUAUUUGGGUUGCAUGGCACCAGAACAAUUUCUAAGGAUGAAUUUUUGAGAAAAGGGUAUUUAUGAUUUAUUAAUAUAUUAUAAGUUCUAAUAUAUUAAUAUAAAAUCAUAUUAUUCAAUCAAUAUUGAUCAAGAAUUAAUUUGGAAUUAAUUUUAUGAUCUAAAGAGACUAAUUAAAUAUAUGGGGAUUGAUUGUAUAAAUCAUUCAUUCUUAUACAGUGGGCUUCUGAUCCAUAGUUCUUUAUCUUGGGCUAAACCCAUGUGGUGCCCCAUGGAUACUCCAUGGAGGUUAAAACCCAUGGAGCCUAAGGAAUGUGGAAAGUCAUGCACAUUAUGGUUUGCAUGGUGUAACGCUAGUUGUGUCACACUAUAUAAGAAACCUCAUGGCUACCAAAAUCGGCACUUAAGUGAGAUAAAAGAGGGCUAGCUGAUUUUUGUGUGUGCAAGACAAUCUCUUCUCAAGUCCUCCAUUGUUGGUGGUGUUGUUUGAAGCAUUUGAGGCAUCAUGCUUGGGGUGCUAGGCUCUUAAAGACUUAAGGUUUCCAAGCUACAACAAAGGUAAGUCAUCUAACUAGAUUUUUGUAUUGUAUAUACUAUAUAGUAUGCUAGUUAGGAUGAUGCCUUGGAAAAUUGAAAGUUUGCAUGUAUAAGAGCGAAAACAUAGAUCCAAGGCAUAUAGGGUUGCAUGUACACCAUAGGAGUGUUCGAAUGCUCAAAACCCUUUAGUGGUAUCAGAGACUAGGCUUGUUCUCAAUUAUACUUGAUGCAACUUGUUUUCAAAGCUUAGAAAAAUUGAUUUUCUGCUUUCUGGACAGUGAACUCGCCGAUUCGUUGACAGACUCGCCGAGUCCACCUUUAAAACUGACCAACUCACUAAGUCAGUUCAUGCACUCGACGAGUUGGUGCUCCAGAAUGCAGAAUUUCAAGUUUUAAAGCCAAAAUUGGACUAGAAUCAUUACCUAUAUUGUUUUUGAACAAAUAAACAUGCUUUUGAUGUGGUAAUGAUUGUGCUUAUCCAAUUUCAAAGAUAAUGGUCAUAGUUUUAUGUUUUGUAUUAGUUUAUAUGAUUAGGCUAAAUUCAUGAAAUUUGUUUGAUAUGAAUUAUCUUGUUCAUAUGAGUUUAGUUUAAUCAUGUAUGAAUUAUUUGAUUAUUGUGUUAAUUAAAAUAACUAGUUAAAUGCUUUUAAUGGACUCCACAACGUUUCCUUAAGUUAUGGAAAAUGAAAGGUUUUUCCUUUAAAAAAUCAUUAAACUCAUAUGUUAUGGAAAUGAAAAGUUUUGACAUGUUUCAAAACAUGCCUUCCAGUUUUGGAAUUUGUAAAGUCACUUAAGAAUACUUUAAUUCCAAACCCUAGAAUUUUAAAAGUUUAAUAUUUAACCCUUAUACUUUAUAUUAUUAUAAGUUUAAUAUAUAUAUAUAUAUAUAUAUAUAUAUAUAUAUAUANNNNNNNNNNNNNNNNNNNNNNNNNNNNNNNNNNNNNNNNNNNNNNNNNNNNNNNNNNNNNNNNNNNNNNNNNNNNNNNNNNNNNNNNNNNNNNNNNNNNNNNNNNNNNNNNNNNNNNNNNNNNNNNNNNNNNNNNNNNNNNNNNNNNNNNNNNNNNNNNNNNNNNNNNNNNNNNNNNNNNNNNNNNNNNNNNNNNNNNNNNNNNNNNNNNNNNNNNNNNNNNNNNNNNNNAUAAGGUUACUGCCUAUAAAAUGGCAGUUUAAUGGGUGUCCAUUCUCACCCACCACUUCCUUGAAUGGUGGAGGGUCGUUAUCCGGAUGGGUAGGAUAGGACUAUAAUUCUCAUUAAGUAUAAUGAUAGUAAUAAAGUAACUAAACCUUUUACAAAUUCCCAAUCUUAGUUACUUUAGGAAAAUAUGAAAUGAAUGCUAAUCCAUGAAAAUUGCACUUUGCACCUUACUAAGUCAUUUAUGGAGCGUGUGUGGUUAACUGGCACAUUAACUUGGACUAGUAAGGGUGGAAAAGGGUGGCUCGAUGUUUUUCAUAAGAUCAAUGGAGCGUGUGUGGUUAACCGACAUAUUGAUUGGGUGAUAAAGUCGAGAGUACCAAUCACAUUUUGCAUGGUUAUUCACACCUUGUUUAUGAUCCUCGGUAUCAUAGUCACAAACCUGAAGGGCAUAAUCAAGAUUUAAACAUGAUAUUGAAUUGUUCAAUGAAUCUUAAAGGAUCUAGGAGUCUCAAUCCAAUUAAAACUUAAUAUUUAAUUUCGUUUUUCAUGGUGGAAAUUGGUAAAUCGUCAUUUACCUACCUUCAAAUAUUUUGCAAGUUGGAUUAUGGAAUCACUCUUCCAAAUUGUAAAUAUUGUGUUGGGUCCUAGCCUUAAUAUUUCAUUUGCAUGUUUUAGUAAGGAAUCUUUAUCAAAUCUAAACUUGUCUUUCUUUCUUUUUAGAAGCCUUCUAACACUGCUUCUGGCACAAACCCUACUGGCUCCUUCUCUCUCAUGAACCUUUGUAGGAGAGUUAUCUUUUAUGGUUCCAACUACAAUGACUGGAUUAAGAGCAUGAGGAUGGUCACUCGCUAUGAGGAAAAGGAAUAUGUCCUAGACAAGAAGCUUAAGGAAAUCGAUGAGUCUUCUACUACUCAUGAGGAGAUCGCUGAGUUUAGGGCUCAUGAGAAGGAUGUCACAAAGGUGUCUUGUAUCAUGUUGGCCACCAUGAUAGCUGAACUCCAAAAGUCCUAUUAGGAUUUCUACCCUUUUGAGAUGCACCAGGACCUGAUGGAAAGAUACCAUCAUAGUGCUCGUCAAGAGAGGUAUGAAAUCAUCUCUUCCUUGAUAACAGCCAGGAUGAAGGAUGGUGAACCUAUCACGGGCCACUUGUAGAAAAUGAAAAGGUUUGUGGAUCGGUUGCUAAAGUUAAAUGUGAACUUCGCUGAGGAGCUUGCUAUGGAUAUAAUUCUACACUCCUUGCCUCCAUGUUAUGAUCAGUUUCACAUGACCUAUCAUAUGAACAAGGAGGAGGUAACACUUAGCAAAAUUCAUGGGAUUUGGAGGAUUGCUGAAACUAGUGUCAAAGGUAAAAAUGUUGUUUCUACUCCUACCGCAGCUGCCCCUGUUCUGGUAACUGGACAAGGGAAAUGGAAGAAGAGGAAGGCUGCCUCAAAUAGUUACAAGGGAAAGUCUCUUUAUGGAUCCUCUUCAAGUGGGAACAAGUUUGGUACUGCUGCACCCUCUUCCAUUCUUAAGGAAGUAGAGUGUUUCUACUAUCAUGAUAAGAGCACUGGAAGCGAAUUUGCCCUAAAUACAUGAAGGAUGUCAAGGAUGGGAAGGUUAAACCCACCCAUGCAUGUAUUUAUACUAUUCUAUCUAAAAACUCAUCACAUUAUAACUCUUGGGUUCUUGACACAGGUUGUGAAUUUCACAUUUGUUUGAUGUGCAGGGCCUAAAAAGAAGUAAGGAUGUGGAGCACGGGAAGGUAAACUUGAUCAUGGGGAAUAGGAAGGUUUCACCUGUCACCAAGAUUGGAGUUUACUCUUUAUUGCUUAGUAGUGGGUUAGAAAUAGAUUUGAAUAAUUGUUGCUACUCGUCUGAUAUGGAAAGAAAUAUUAUUUCCUUUCAUGGUUUGUACAAACAAGGCUAUAGUUUUUCAUUUGAUAAUGAAAUUGGUGCUAUUAAUGCUUUUUACAUUGGUAUACUUUCUUUUAAAGCAUUACCUUGUAAUGGUGUAUAUGGAACUGUAAUGUUGUAGAAAAAUUAGGAAAUAUUGUGUUGCAUAUCGAUUCUUCCAAUGAAUUGGAUAAAGCAUGCUUGUGGCAUUGUCGUCUUUGAAAUGUUAGCAAGAGGCGCAUAGGCCAACUCAAAAACGCUGGAGUUUUGGAGUCAUUCGACUUAAGUUCGGAUGACACUUUCGAAUCUUGUUUACUUGGAAAGAAGACUAAAUCACCCUUCACUGGUACUUAUGAGAGGGGUGAAAGUUUGUUGGAUCUCAUACACACCAAUGAGUGUGAGCCCUUCAGAACCCCCACAAGGGAUGCUAACCCCUUCUAUGUGACUUUUACUGUUGAUUACAAUAGAUAUGGCUAUGUCUAUUUAAUCAAGCAUAAGUCAUAAACCAUUGAGAAAUUCAAAGAGUUCAAACAGGAAGUGGAGAGGAGAGGAGUAUUUCGUGAGAGAGAGCUCAUAGGCUAAGGAGACAGUGGGAGGUAAAUUGACAUUGAAGAACUUCAAAAGUCAAUCGGUGAAGGAACCUCAAACACUAGUGAUCAACCUAAGGAGGAAACUCCUAUUGAGCCAAUUGACGUGUCUAUACCUCUGAGGCAUUCCAGUAUAGUUAGUGUUCCACCUGAGUUCUAUGGUUUCCAUAUUACUGCAGAAGGUGAUACAUUUAUCAGUAAUAACAUACUGAUAAAUUUGGAUGAACCUAACAACUACAGGCCCUGAGUGUGCUAAACAGAAAUAGGCUAUGGAUAGCAAGAUUCAGUCCAUGUAUGGCAAUCAAGUUUGGAACUUGGUUGACAAUAUACCAGGUCGUAAUAUGUUCGAGUGCAAAUGGAUCUUUAAGAGGAAGACCAACAUGGAUGGAAUGGUACACACUUAUAAGGCGCGACUGAUUGCGAAGGGCUUUUCUUAAACUCUGGGAGUUGAUUAUGAUGAGACCAUCUCACUAGUAAAGAAGAUUAAGUCUAUUAGGGUUAUGCUCAUGAUUAUGAAAUAUGGCAAAUGGAUGUUGGGUUUUGUCGAUGAAAAGUACACUAAUAGAGUGUUUAAGCUUGACAAAUCCAUUUAUGGAUUGAAACAAUCAUCUCGCAGAUGGAAUCUUUGUUUCGAUGAGAAAGUCAAAGAGUUUGGCUUUUCGAGAAGCGAGGAUGAGUCCUGCGUAUAUGUCAAAUCUAGUGGCAGCAUAGUUAGCUUUCUGGUAUUAUAUGUGGAUGACAUACUACUCAUAGGAAAUGACAUUCCAACCUAGUUGGAGGUUAAGUUAUGGCAUGGGAAGUUUUUUGCUAUGAAGGAACUCCGAGAAGCUGCCUAUAUUCUUGGGAUAAGGAUAUUUAGAGAUAGGAGUAAGAGACUAAUUGGACUUAGUCAAAGUACCUACUUGGAUAAGGUGUUGAAAAGAUUCAGCAUGCAAGAUUUCAAGAAAGGUGACUAACUGAUGUAGAACAAUGCCAAACUGAGUAAAGAUCAGAAUCCAAGUACAGAGGCUGAGAUAGCUGAGAUGAGUCGAAUACCAUAUUCAUCUGCUGUUGGCUCGAUCAUGUAUGCUAUGACUUGUACUAGCCCUGAUGUGGCCUUUGCUUUGAAAACGGUCACCAGAUAUCAAGGGAAUCCAGGCAAGCCUCAUUGGACUACGGUAAAGAACAUUCUCAAGUACUUGCGGAGGACUAAGGACUGGGUCCUUACCCUCGGUGGAAGUGAUGACUUGAGAAUGGUGGGGUAUAGUGAUGCCAGCUUUCAGACCGACAGGGAUAAUUUCCGCUCUCAUUCGGACUGGGUCUUUACCCUGAAUGGAGGAGCAAUAACUUGGAAAAGUUCCAAGCAGGUGACAAUAUCUGGUUUAACUUGCGAAUCAGAGUACAUAGCAGCAAGCGAGGCGACGAAGGAGGCAAUAUGGAUGAAGAACUUCAUCGGAGACCUUGGAGUUGUACCAGCUAUAAAAGGAGCCUAUGGAGAUUUUCUAUGAUAGCGAGAGUGCAGUUGCCUUAGCCAAUGAACCAUGGGAUCAUGGCAGAUCAAGGCACAUCGACAGAAAAUACCACUUCAUUAGACAUCGAAUAGAAGGACUCCUCAUGGAAAAGAGGGUAUCGUCUGAUGAGAAUCCAACAUAUCCCCUCAUAAAGGGAAUGAGUAGGGUUAAGCAUUUACAACAUGCGAUGCGCAUCGGGCUGAAGGACAAUAUUAGGUUUAAUGAUUAAAUAUCGAAACUUGUAAUAGUGGAAAUGUAAUUAACAUUUGAUGCUUAAAUAGUAGGUGCUUUUUAUUUACAAGUAUGGUAAUGUCUUGUGUCAAUCAUUAAUAUUGUGUCACUUUGCAUGUGUUGACAUCCAAAAAAAAUAUAUUAUUCAAACUAUCCAUAGUCGAUCAUAUCUUAGAAGUAGGCAUUGAAUCAAGACUGUCAUGAAUUUGGCUUGUAGAUUUGUCUGAAUUGUGUUAGACAUAGCAAAGUUUGUCGCAACAUUCAUGAGUGCUCAUAAGGUCUGGGUAUUGGCUUAAACCCACGCUCACUCGUAUCACUUCAUGGAAUUUAGCUCGAGUGAUUGUGAGACGAUAAUAUCAUAUAAGUCUUCAAACCAAGAGCUAUGAGUUGUAGACUAUGAGUUGGUUGAGCAUUGAUAGUACGAAAACACUUCAGUAACUUGAUGGUAUAAAACAUGUUGUUAUAUACAAUUUGAUGAGUAGUUAGUACUAGCAUAUGAGUCGAAGUUUAUCAGUUCCUUUUAGUCCUUGGAGAAUUAAAAGUGAUAUCUUGGUCCCUCGAUGAUUUUGUUUUGACUUAUGUGUCGGGCUCGGUUCGAACUAUAUUGAUGUGUUCGAUUAAGUUCUAUGUCAAACAAAUCGAAGAUCUAGAAACAAACUGCUAGACAAUAAGUAUGAAGUUGCUCCAUGUAUUUAUCCGGCUGAUAUGUUGAGAACAGAGGAUUAUAUGAUCACUUAUCUAAAAUGGAGCCUCUUUGUUUGACAGAGGCUUUUAAGAUCUACGAUUGCUAGUCGGUGUUUUAAUUCAUACUUGCCGUGAUAGUUAUUAGACUUAUCCAAGUGGGAGUCUCUUGGAUUUAGUGUCUAAGCCCAUAACUAUAAUUGGUAUGUACUUGUCCUGAGAGUAGCAUGGUCCAUUUGGGUUGCAUGUAACCAGAACAAUUUGAAAGGAUGGACUUUUGAGAAGAGGAUAUUUAUGAUUUAUUAAUAUAUUGUAAUUUCUAAUAUAUUAACUUGAAAUCAUAUUAUUUAAUUAGUAUUGAUCAAGAAUUAAUUUAGAAUUAAUUUUGUGAUCAAAAGAGACUAAUUAAAUAUAUGGGUAUUGAUUGUAUAAAUCAUUCAUUCUUAUAAAGUGGGCUUAUGAUCUAUAGUUCUUUUUGUUGGGUUUAACCCAUGUGGUGACCCAUGGAUACUCCAUGGAGGUUAAAACCCAUGGAGCCUAAGGAAUGUGGAAAGUCAUGCACAUUAGGGUUUGCAUGGUGUAACCCUAGCUGUGCCACACUAUAUAAGAAACCUCAUGGCUACCAAAAUCGGCACUUAAGUGAUAUACAAGAGGGCUAGCCGAUUUUUGUGUAUGCAAGACAAUCUUUUCUCAAGUCCUCUAUUGUUGGUGGUGUUGUGUGAAGCAUUUGAGGCAUCACACUUGGGGUGCUAGGCUCUUAAAGACUUAAGGUUUCAAAGCUACAAUAAAGGUAAGUCAUCUAACUAUAUUUUUUUAGUGUAUAUACUCCAUAGUAUGCUAGUUAGGAUGAUGCCUUGGAAAAUUGAAAGUUUGCAUGUAUAAUAGAGAUAACAUAGAUCCAUGGCAUGUAGGGUUGCAUAUACACCAUAAACGGGAGGUGAACCGAACAUCACGGUCUUAAAAAAUAGAGACCAAAACGCCAUGGUGAGCAACGAUCUUGCGGAUAUACACAUCGGCCAAUUUCUCGACCGACGAACUCUCCCGAAUGGCCAGAAAAUGGGCACACUUAGUCAAUCGAUCCACGAUGACCCAAAUGGCAUCCAACCCCCUUACAGUCUUCGUCAACUUGGUGAUAAAAUCCAUCAAAAUGUGUUCCUAUUUCCACAUGGGAACCUACAGAGGCUGCAGCUUGCCAUGCGGCCUCUGGUUCUCGGCCUUGACCAUCCUACAGGUCAAGCACCUCUCGACAUACCAGCCGAUCUCUCUCUUCAUGCACGACCAUUAAUAACUCAAUCUUAGAUCCCGAUACAUCUUGAUGGCCCCCAGAUGGAAAGAAAAUUGAGACUUAUGAGCCUCCUCCAACAUGAUCUGUUUGACACCACCCGACACAAGAACCCACACCCGACUACAACGAGUCAAUAAUCUACGACUGUCCAACACAAAUUUGGUGAUCUCACCCCUAAUCCUCUUAAUCUUCCCAUUCUCCUCUCGGUUACCCUCAGUCUGAGCCUCCCUAAUCAAAUCCACAAGUGGAGAAUCCAUGGAUAUCCUCAUACAUGCCACCUCAAUAGAAGGUCCAACCAACUUACGGCUCAUGUCAUCCGCCACCAUAUUCGCUUUACCAGGAUGGUAAAGGAUCUCGUAGUCAUAAUCCUUGACUACGUCCAGCCACUAGUGCUGCCUCAUGUUCAGGUUUGGCUGAUCCAUAAUAUGCCUCAAACUCUUGUGAUCCAUGUAGAUGAUACAAUGGACCCCAUAAAGGUAAUGCCUCUAAAUUUUGAGAGCGAAAACCAUCGCUCCUAACUCAAGAUCGUGCGUUGGAUAUCUCACCUCAUGCGGCUUCAGCUGUCGCUAAACAUAAGCUAUCACUCGUCCCCUCAUAAUGAGGACUUCUCCCAAACCGGUGAUGGAUGCAUCAUUGAAAACAAGAAAAUCAUCAAUUCCCUUCGGGAGGGUCAAGACUGGGGCCUCGAAAAGUCUCUGCCGAAGGGUCUCGAGUGUUGACUGCUGCUCAGGGCCCACCAGAAACCCACUCCUUCCUAGUUAGACGAGUGAGGGGUACUGCAAUCUUGGAGAAAUCAUGAAUGAAUCUCCGGUAUUACCAUGCUUAACCUAGAAAACACUUGAUAUCCGAGGGAGACUUCGGAACCUCCUACUACAUCAUCGCCUAGAUUUUGGUCGGAUCGACCAAAAUCCCGUCCUAGUUAAUGAGGAGUCUAAGGAACUGCACGUCUUGCAACCAAAACUCGCACUUCUAGAACUUAGCAUAAAGCUGUUCUUACCUCAAACCCCCCAAGAGCUCGCGGAGAUGCUCCUCAUGCUGCUAUAUGGUCUUGGAAUACACUAAGAUAUCAUCAAUAAACAUGAUAACCGAUCAAUCAAGCUUCGGUCUUCAUACUUGAUUCAUCAAAUCAAUAAAAUACCGCAUGCGCAUUGGUGACACCGAAUGACGUUACUGUUGGGUUUUGAGCAUUCUAACACUCCUAUGGUGUACAUGCAACCCUAUAAAACUUGGAUAUAUGUUUUCUCUAUUAUACAUGCAAAUAUUAACUAUUCCAAGGUUUUAUCCUAACUAGCAUAUUAUGGAGCACCUAUACUACAAAGUUCUAGUUAGAUGACAUACCUUUUGAUGUAGCUUGAUGUCUGCAAGCUUUAAGAGCUUAGCCCCAAUAGUGUGGAAGCCUCAAAUGGAAUCACAAAUCACCAAAACACCUUGGAAGAAGUUAAGAUAAUAUGUAUGCACACUAAAAUCGGCCCACUCUUAUUUUCACACACUUUGCCAAUUUUGUGAGCCAAGGAACCCUUUAUAUAUUAUGGAGGAUUAGGGUUACAUCCAUGUAAACCCUAAUACCCAUGACCUUUCAUUUACAUAGGAUCCAUGGGUUAAAAGCUCCAUGGAGUAUCCAUAAAAAGCUUAGCCUAACCUAAAUGAACUUGGCCCAUUCCAUAUAUAUAAGAGUCCAUAUUUAAUUAGUUACUUUUUAUCACUUAAUUAAUUCUAAAUUAUUUCUUGAUCAAUACUAAUUAAAUAAUAUGAUUCCAUAUUAAUAUAUUAGAACUCAUAAUAUAUUAAUAUUAAUCAUAAAUAUACUAUUCUCAAAAGACUAUCCAUAUAAAUUGUGCUGGUGAAGUGAAACCCAAAUGGACCAUGCCGAGUCGGGUCAAGUACAUACAAAAUAUAGUUAUGGACUUAGAAAUUAAUCCAAUAGUCUCCCACUUGGAUAAGUCUAAAAAUAUUGUUGAGUAUGACUUCAAAAACUAACUGGCAAUCGUAGCUCUUAAAGCCGCUGUCGAACUCUGACCUUGUCAAUGACUUGUCCAUUAGAUAAGGGAUGAUAUAUUCCUCCCUUCUAGAUAUCAUAUGGAAAGAGACAUGGAUUAUAAUCAUUCUCUUUGUCCAUUUGUUGUUUCCUAAUUUUUGAUUUAUGAUGACUGACUGAUUGAACAAAUCAAAUCAGUCUUUGCUUGGCCAAGCACUCACACGUGUCAUCGCUAAAUCAUCGAGGGGCCCACAUAUAUCGCUUUUAUCCCGAAGGUAAAAGGAAUGGAUAAACUUCGACUCAUAUGGCUUGUUCUGCUACUUGUUGAGUCAUACACAAAGGCACGUUUUAUAAUACCGAGUUACCAAUGCGUUUUCGUGCAAUCAAUGUACUAUCAACUCAUAGUAACAUCUCAUAUCUCUAGGUUUGAAGAAUAAAGGAUAUUAUCGUCUCAUGAUCACUUGCGAUAAAAUCCAUGAAGUGAUUCAAAUGAGAACGGGUUGAAUCUAAUACUCAGAACUUAUGAGCACUCAUGAGUGUUGUAGAACCACUUUGUCCACCAACUUGGACCUCUACAAACCAACCCAUGAUAGUCUUGAUUCAUAUCUACUUCCAAUAUAUGACCGACUGUGGAUGGUUUGAAUAACUUAAUCAUUCAAGAAUAGCGACUUAGUUAUUCUGGAAGUCAAAACAUGCAAAGUGAAAUACAAGAAUAAAUGAAUCAAAUAUGGUAUCAAACCCUAUGAAUAUAAAUAAACACUUUUAUUUUUCACCAUACUGAUUACUUAUUAUUCAUUGUUUCGGUUUUAUCAACUUUAUACUUGAAUUAAAAACACUAGUUGUACCAUGCUCCAAGCAUGCACACUAUGUAUUUCUUAAACAAUAGCUUUGCCAUACACCAAUUAUGCACUCUAUGUUUGUCUAUGAUCCUUACUUUAUGAACUAGAUCGAUUGAACAUAAUUUCAAUGAUUCUCUUUUCACACUCCCAAAUCGUUAUCGAAAUUUUUUUUAAGAAUUCCAAAUUCCUCUCAUUUAUCAAAAUUUGUUUAGAUUUUAAACUUAUAUGCACUGAAUCUCUUGUAAUUCUCAUGCACAAAGUCAUAAUGACUUUUCAACAGACAUUACAGAGUAUUCUAACGAAGAUCAACUCGAUGAAACAAAGUCUCAUAUUUCAUUAAGUUUUCUAACACAAAUAAAUUCCACCUAUGGAGACAACUCCAUAUUCCCAUUUUGACUACCACUUCUGAAUAAGUGUUGCCUCUUUUCAGACUAUGUCAAUAUGGUCAUUCCAAUAUUAACAGUAUACUUCCAAAUGUCCUUGAGCAACCAAUCUUUGGUAAAACCUUAGAUUGUCCUCGACAAUUGCUUAAUCACUUUAUUCAUAUCCAAUUCUAAACCUUUUCCCUCCUUUAUGCCCGAAGGCAUUUGGAAAAUUUAGAAAGGAUAAAUAUUAUAGCACAUAUAAUCGAUCUUGUACCCAAAGCAACUGGGACAUAAUUCAUGAUGUCUGACAUAAAGACAUGAUUCUAGACCAGUCUUUUGCUACAAUAUUUUUAUUUGCCAUGUUCUAAAAAUUUUGACUAUGAAGAGGGACGUCGUAAUCAUAAUCGAAUUUUGAGAACGCAAUAUAUAAAAUUUCCUUAUGUUGAACCAAUCCAACAAGAAGUCCAUAUAUANAUUUUGAGAACGCAAUAUAUAGAAUUUCCUUAAGUUGAACCAAUCCAACAUGAAAUUCAUAUAUAUAUUCUUGACUAAAGAUGAUUAAAAUCUCACUCUAAGCUUUUUAGAAUUGACAUGAAGUAUAAUUUCCUUUCCCUUAAUUAUAACAGAACAACUUUUUCAACCCCUGCAGCCUCACGAAUUGAAACCUUUGUUUUCUAUAAUUAACAUUGCUAACUUGCAAUACUUAUCAUAAUUAUCAUGGUCCCACUAACAUGAUGAUUAUUAGCAUAACACUUAUGCUCCCACUAGCUUUGACAUGUAUCCAGAAAACAGAUGGACUUCUAGAAGUCAAUACUUUAUUGACUUUCUUACCAAAGUUCAGAUUUUUUAUACUAGAUUGCUUUGAUAUGACUUCAUUAAAAUCAUACACCUUAUUUUAGAUAACUCACAGGUGAGUCUAAAUAAUUUUAGAACUAUGAAAAGGGAUGUCGUAAUCAUAGUCUCAAUUGUUUAGACUUUUGCCAUUUCUCAUAAGUCCAUGUUAGUGUGUCGGAUAACCAUGCACGCUCCACUAACGAAUUUGAGAAUUCAAAGAUUACAAUUGCUAUCUUACUUAAAUUCUACUUGGUGGAAGUGUUUCAUCACCAUCAUUUUCAUGAAUCGGAAAGAAACCUUAUGAUCCUUAGAUUUUAUGGUGUAUGUGUUCUUAUCCACGUGAAUUUGUCAAAACCAUAAUCAUAAGACUAGGUUAGUGACAAAUCCUAACUUAUAUGGAUUGAACUCGUGCAAUCUUAACCACUUGCCACCUAGCAACACAAGGGCCUGCCAUUGCUUCCAAGUAGUUAUGCAAACAAUUGAGAACAUGUAGAACUCAAAUGUUCUAGCCAACUUAACUGGAAUGGGCACAAAAAUGUCAACACAAUAGGUUAUAAACCAAUUGUUGUGUGCUAGUGAUGAAAUACAGGUUUUAUUCUUGAUUAGUUCUUGAAACUAUAUCAGGAUCUAUUAGACUCCCACUGUCUUCUUGACCUAUAAGACUUGCUUGCCAAAUGUUUAAGGAAAUAAUGUGGAUUCUAAUCAAGACUAACACUUCACACAAUUGGCCUUAGUUGAUCUUUGUUUUAUCCAAAACAUCACAACUUCCCAAUUUCAAAUGUACAAGAGUAGAAAAAUUUUACUCUUACAUUUAACAAGUGUUAUAAACCUUCUUUAAGAUAUGUCACUCAAGUUACAACCUUGGAGUAUGACUCUAAGAUUUGUUUUGGAACGAAGUAUGACUCAUCUUCUUAAUUUAACCACUUCAACAAUUCACGAAUCCUCUUCUUAGCUAUCAGAAUGCACUUAGAGGAUGAAUUAUGUUAAGGUUUCUUAAUCAUUAAGAUGAUCAUAUAUACAUGAUACUAAAGUAUUCUCCCAUCUUUUCAGAUUUGAGAAACUUUUAUCCUUUUUGCCUAAUUUGAUUCUUCUUAUUCGCUCUGCCACACAUUUGGAACUUUUCCAAUGUCUUAGAAUUAUACUUAAGCUUGUAAGUAUAAUCAUAUUUACUAAACCUUAGUAAAUCAUGACGAAUAGUCUUAUCCAUCUUUUGUGGUGAACUUUGGCUAGUGCACAAGAAUGUGUACUUGAUCCCUUAAUCCUUCUCUUGAGUCACAUAUACAUGUGAACAAAGAACUAGUCUUAAUUUUCCGAAAUGAAACUUCUCAUACAUCAUACUAUACAACUUGUAUGAUUCCAAGUGUUGGCCAAUUUAAACUUGGGUGAUGAGAAUCUUUCCUUAUUUGGUAAAUUUAGACACUACCACAAACGAAAGAAUCAAAUUCAAAUUUCCUUCUCUUUGCUUGAACCUGCUAAAUAUCAAAAUGCAACCAAGUCACAUUUUGUAGUAAGAAUCAUCAACUGGGAACUUAACAAAGUUAGAUAGUGGACUUAUCUGAAGCAGAGUCAAACUUUUUGAUUCUUCUUUCUUUCAGGUAGCUUGGGCAGCUUCGCUUCCAAUUCCCCUUUUCUUCACACUGAAAACAUGUAGACUCUUUGGGAAUGGUACAAAAGGCUAUUCCAGACUUAGACUUUCUCUUUACCUUCCAUUCAACCGGGUUGACCAAGGCCGAUCCCUUUCCAUUCGAAAGAGAAAGCUUUUCUAGACUUCCAAUGUUACCAUUGUCCAUGUCCAUGAAAGUUUGACUUCCAUCCAUAUUUGUUUGACUAUUGCACCAAAUCAUUUCUGAUUCAGCAGCAAUAAGCAAAUAAGAGAGAUCCAUUAGGGUCAUGUUGUGACCUGUCACACAAUAGUCUUUCUAUACGACUCAGGAAGUGACUGAAAGACCUAGUCAAUAGCCAACUUCCUUAGGACAACGACACCCUACCUUCUCAACCUGUCAAUGUGUGACUUUUGUCCUAAGACAUGAGUGCACAUAGGACUUCCACCUUUAUCUUUCAUUGUGGAUAGGGAUUGAGUGAUCUUGAACUAUUCAAGUCUUUGAGCUUGUAGGUCGGGGAGAAUAAUUGGAGGAGGUGGAGGAAGAGAAGUAUGAUUUCCAUGAGCCAAACUCAGGAAGUCAUAUUCAUUAGGACAGCUUGGUUUGGGAAGAUUGUUGUUGUCUAAACCAGACAUCAACAAUGGGAGAAAUUCAAGUAAAGUUGAUUUAAGUCCUUAAUAGAACACCCAAUAUGAAAUAUUAAGGCUAGGACCCAACAAACUAUUUUAAAACGUGGAAGAGGGAUGCCGUAAUCCAAGCUAUAAAAUAUUUGAAGGUAGGUGAAUGACGAUUCACCAAUUUCCUCCAAGAUAAACGAAAUGUGUUAUUAGGUUUUAAUUGGUUUUGAAACUCCUAGAUUCUUUUGAGAUUCAUUGAACUUUUUGAAUGGCAUGUUUCAAUCUCGAGUGUGCCCUUUAGGUUUUGUGACUGGGAUGCCGAGGAUCACAAAACAAGGUGUGAAGUAACCAUGCAAAUAUACUUGGUACCCUUAAUAUUUACCCCUCAAUCGAUGUGCCGGUUAGCCACACACGCUCCAACGAUACUAUGAUAAACAUUAAGUUACCUUUUUCCUACCUUGUUAAGUCCAGUUUAGUGUGUUGGUUAACCACACACGCUCCACUAACGGCUUAAAGAAAGUGCAAAGUGUAAUUUCAUGUAUUAGCACCUUAUUGACAUUUUCCUAAGUAACUAAGAUUGGGAAUUUAUAAGUGUUUAGUUACUUAGUAUUUAUCAUUAUACUUAUAAUGAAGGGAGAAUUAGAGUCCUUUUCCUACCUAUUCGGCUAACGACCCUCCACUGGUCAAUGAAGUGCUGGGUGAGAGUGGACACCCAUUAAACUGCCAUUUUAUAGGUAGUAACCUUAUACCCCCUUAUAGACCGGCUUCGUGAAUGAGGCCUACUAAUGGUAAGACGACUUGCUCUUAUACAUAUAUAUAAAUAUUAUUAACUUAUAAUAUUAUAAAGUAUAAGGGUUGAAUUUUAACUUUUAAAAUUCNAUAUUAUUAACUUAUAAUAUUAUAAAGUAUAAGGGUUGAAUUUUAACUUUUAAAAUUCAAAGGGCUCCACUUGGAACUAUAGGAUCCAUGAGAAAACUUUACAAAUUCCAAAACUUGAGGGAAACUUUUGAAACUAUUCAAAACUCUUGGAUUUUCAUAACUUAUAAGUUUAAUUAAAAACUUUUAAUGAAGAGACUCUUGGACAUCCAUAACUUGAUGACAAGUUAUUGUUGGGUUUUGAGCAUUCUAACACUCCAAUGGUGUACAUGCAACCCUAAAUACCUUCGAUCUAUGUUUUCUCUAUUAUACAUGCAAAUAUCAAUUUCCAAGGUAUUUAUCCUAACUAGCAUAUUAUGAAGUACAAAUAAUAUAAAAUCUAGUAGAUUGAUAUACCUCUUUGUUGGUGUUUCAAUCUAUUUCAAAAUAUCAUUCAUUGCAUACUGUUUCAAGCUAUCAACUUUAUAUUUGAAUUAAAACAAUAGUUGUCCCAUACUCCAAGCAUGUACACUAUGUUUUCUAAACACCAGUCAUGUCAUACACCAAGUAUGCAUACUAAGUUUGUCUAUGAUCUUUACUUUGUGAAAUAGAUAGAUUGAACAUAAAUCCAAUGAUACUCAUUUCACACUCCCAAUACUGCACAUGCAAGAACUCCAAAUUCCUUGCAUUUACCUAAAUCUGUUAGAUUCUAAACUUAUACGCAUUGAUCCUCUUGUAAUGAUUAUGCACAAAGUCACAAAGACUUGACAACAAACAUUAAAGAGUAUUCCAAAGGAGAUCAACUCCUUGGAAACAUCCUUCAUGCAUUAAGUUUCCUAAUCUUACACAGAUUUAUUGAACAACUCCACCUUCCCAUAUUCCCAUUUUGACUAUCACUUCUGAACAAGAGUUGCCUCUUUUCAGAAUAUGUCAAUAUGGUACUUCCGAAAAUUAACAUUAUACUUCCAACUGUCCCUGAGCAACCAAUCUUUGGUAAACCUUAGAUUGUCCUCGACAAUUGCUUAAUCCUUGUAGUUAUAUCCAAUUCUAGACCUUUUCCCUUCUUAAUGCCCCAGGCAUUUGGAAAAUUUUAGAAAGGAUGAAUAUAGCACAUGUAAUCGACCCUAUAUCCAAAGCAUAUGGGACACGAUUCAUGACGUCUCACAUAAAGACAUGAUACUAGACUAGUCCUUUGCUAUAAUAUUUCCAAUUCAAUUUGCCAAUUUCUCAUAAUUCAGAUUAUGGAAAGGGACGUCGUAAUCAUAAUCGAAUUUUAGAACGCAAAUAAUGAACCCAUACAUAGAAUUUCCUUAUGUUGAGCCAUUCCAACAUGAAAUUCAUAUAUAUAUUCUUGACAAAAUACGAUUAAGACCUCAAUCUAAGCUUUUAGAUUUGAGAUGAAGUAUAAUUUCCUCUCCAUUAAUUAUAGCAAAACAACUUUUCCCAAUUGAGACCUUUUGUUUUCUAUAAUUAACAUUNAUGCUCCCACUAGCUUUGACAUGUACUCAGAAAUCAGCUGGACUUCUAGAAAUCAAUACUUUAUUGACUUUCUUACCAAAUUUCAGACUUCUGAUACGAAAUGCUUUGAUAGAACUUUAUCAAAAUCAUACACCUUUCCUUAGAUAGCCCACAUGUGUGUCUAAAAAAUUUUAGAACUAUGAAAAGGGAUGUUGUAAUCAUAGUCUCAAUUGUUUAGACCUUUGUCAUUUCUCACAAGUCCUUGUUAGUGUGGCGGUUAACCAUACAUGCUCCACUAACGACUUUGAGAAUGCAAAUAUCACAAUUGUUAUCUAGUUAAAAUCUACUUAGUGAAAGUGUUUCCUCACCAUAAUUUUCAUGAAUCAGAGAGAAACCUUAUGACACUUAUAUUUUAUGGUGUAUGUGCUCUUAUCCAUAUGAAUUUGUGAAAACCAUGAUCACAAGACACAGUUAAUGACAAAUCCAAACUUAUAUGGAUUGAACUUGUGCAGUCUUAACUUCUUGCCACCUGGCAGCACAAGGGCCUGGCAUUAUUUCCAAGUUGUUGUGCAACCAAUUGAGAAUUCUAAGAACUCAUAUGCAAAGACAACUUUAACUGGAAUGGGCACAGAAAUAGAAAUAUGUCAAUACGAUAUGUUAUGAACCUCACGUCGUGUGCUAGUGAUAAACUUACAGGAUUUUAUUCUUGAUUAUCCUUUGAGGAUCUUUAAGACUCCCACUAUACUCUUGACACAUAUGACUCAUUGCCAAAUAUUCAAGAGAUAGUUUGGAUUCUUUAUCAAGACAAACACUUUACACAAUUGGCCUUAGUUGGUCUUUGUUUUAUCCAAAACAGCACAACUUACCAAUUUCAAAUGUACAAGUGUAGGACACACUUUACUCUUACAUUUGACUAGUGUUAAGAAACCUUCCUUUAAGAUAUGUCACUCAAGUUACAAUCUUGGAGUAUGACUCUAAGAAUUGUUUUUGGAACAAGGUAUGAAUCAUCUUCUUGAUUUGACCACUUCAAAAAUUCAUAGCUCCUCUUCUUAGUUAUCAGAAUACACUUAGAGGAUGAAUUGUGAUAAGGUCUCUUAAUCAUUAAGAUGAUCAUAUAACAUGAUACUAAAGUACUCUCCUUUCUUUUCAAAUUUGAGAAACUUUUAUCCUUCUGCCUAAUUUAAUUCUUUUCAUUCGUUCUGCCAUACAUUAAAAAUUUUCUAAUGUAUCAGAAUUACACUUAAACUUGUAAGUGUAACCAUAUUUACUAAACUUUAGUAAAUCAUGACGAAUAGUCUUAUAGAUCUUUUGUGGUGGACUUGAUCAAUGCACAAUAAUAUGUACUCGAUCCCUUAGGCCUUUACUUGACUCACACAUCUAUGUGGACAAGUAAUUAGUCUUAAUUUUCCAAUGCUUGAAAGUUCUCAUUGAUCAUACUAUACAACUUGCAUGAUUUCCUGGUUUCUAUCCAACUGGAACCUUGGGUGAUGAUAAUCUUUCCUUAUUUGGUAAAUUUAGACACUACCAUAAAUGAAAGAAUCAAAUCCAUUUUCCAAUAUUGUUAUCAAUGGAAUCAUAUAAGCAACACUUUUUCACAAAUGCCAUUGUAAGGAUACUUAAAAUAAAUAAAAUCAAAUAUUUUCCUUUUAUUUUAAAACUUUGUGGAAAAACUUAUCCUUACAGUGCAAAUGAAAACCUUGUUGUUAUCUAUUCCUAAGUAAUGUGUCAUAACUCCUAAGUAACAACUCAAAAUUCUGAUGCGAAUAAAACCCAUCUUAUGAUCAGAAUCAACAUAUACUUCCUUUAAGCUUUCUCUCUUUCUUUGAUUCUUAUAACAUCACCAUGUGACCCAGUCAUAUUAUGUAAUAGAAUUUGCAAAUAGGAGCUUAACAGAGUUAGAUAAUGGACUUUACCUAAAGUAGAGUCAAACUUAUUGACUUUAACAUCCUUAGGUAAAUUUGGCAGCUUCGCAAUCAAUUCCCCUUCCUUUGGCAAUUAAACAUAUGGACGCUUUGGUAAUGGUACAUGGGACUAUCAUAGAUUUAGUCUUUCUCUUUACCAUUUGGUCAACCGAGUUGACUAUGGCCGAUCCCUUUCCAUUGGGAAGAGAAUGCUUUUUCUGGAUUUCCAGUGUCACCAUUGUCAAUGUCCAUAAAGUUUUGGGAAGUCAAUCUUCUAAUCAAAUUUUCUUUACUAGCCUUCCAAAUCAUUGCUGAUUCAGCAGCACCAAGCAAAUAGAUAAAAUCAUCAAGGGUCUUCUAAUAGUCUGUUUCAUAGGAGUUCCAAAGAAACUCACUAUGUGACUUAGAAAGUGACUGAACAUUCAACUUUCUGAAGACUUUGACACCUAACUCUCCCGGCUUGUCAAUAUGUGACUUCAUCUCCAAGAUGUGAUCACACCUAGACCUUGCCUUGCCAAAAGGGCUUGAGUGACCUUGAACUUGUGGGUUAGGGAGAAUAACUGGAGGAGGUGGAGGAAGUGAAGUUCCAAGAGAUUUGGGAGGAUCAUAGAUGUCUGAACUAGACAUCUUUUGCGAGAUAUUCAAGAUAGUUGAUCUAAAGUCCUUAAUAUAACACCAAAUGUGAAAUAUUAAGGCUAGGACCCAACACAAUAUUUUUUAACUUAGAAGAGGGAUGUGGUAAUCCAGGCUAUAGAAUAUUUUAAGGUAGGCGAAUGACGAUUCACCAAUUUUCACCAUGAAAACAAAAUAAUUUAAUUAGGUUUUACUUGGAUUUGAAACUCUUAGAUCUUUUGAGAUUCAUUGAACUAUUCAAUGGCAUGUUUCAAUCUCGAGUGUGCCCUUCGGGUUUUGUGACUGGGACGCCAAGGAUCACAAAACAAGGUGUGAAAUAACCAUGCAAAUCACUUGGUACCUUAAGUGUUCACCCCUCAAUCGAUGUGCCGGUUAACCACACACGCUCCAUCGAUACUAUGAUAAACAUUAAGUUACCCUUUUCCUACCUUGUUAAAUACGAGUUAGUGUUCCGGUUAACCACACACGCUCCACUAACCGACUUAAACAAAGUGCAAAGUGUAAUUUCAUGGAUUAGCACCUUAUUCACAUUUUCCUAAAGUAACUAAGAUUGGGAAUUAUAAAAAAC
Molecule: long non-coding RNA, 28504 nt
Filed under: Lactuca sativa (garden lettuce)
Lineage: Eukaryota; Viridiplantae; Streptophyta; Magnoliopsida; Asterales; Asteraceae
Description: long non-coding RNA (LSAT_LNC000886)
Source: RNAcentral